RNAcentral lists this non-coding RNA (30 nucleotides) under Homo sapiens (human). Lineage: Eukaryota; Metazoa; Chordata; Mammalia; Primates; Hominidae. The record is from RNAcentral.
UGCAUGCCUCACCUGCAGACGCCUCACUCU